Molecule: ribosomal RNA, 793 nt
Filed under: uncultured bacterium
Lineage: Bacteria
Description: bacterial SSU rRNA
Rfam family: Bacterial small subunit ribosomal RNA
Source: RNAcentral
AGAGUUUGAUCAUGGCUCAGAUUGAACGCUGGCGGCAUGCCUUACACAUGCAAGUCGAACGGCAGCACGGGGGCAACCCUGGUGGCGAGUGGCGAACGGGUGAGUAAUACAUCGGAACGUGUCCUGUAGUGGGGGAUAGCCCGGCGAAAGCCGGAUUAAUACCGCAUACGAUCUGUGGAUGAAAGCGGGGGAUCUUCGGACCUCGCGCUACAGGGGCGGCCGAUGGCAGAUUAGCUAGUUGGUGGGGUAAAGGCCUACCAAGGCGACGAUCUGUAGCUGGUCUGAGAGGACGACCAGCCACACUGGGACUGAGACACGGCCCAGACUCCUACGGGAGGCAGCAGUGGGGAAUUUUGGACAAUGGGCGAAAGCCUGAUCCAGCAAUGCCGCGUGUGUGAAGAAGGCCUUCGGGUUGUAAAGCACUUUUGUCCGGAAAGAAAACCUCGUGGUUAAUACCCGUGGGGGAUGACGGUACCGGAAGAAUAAGCACCGGCUAACUACGUGCCAGCAGCCGCGGUAAUACGUAGGGUGCAAGCGUUAAUCGGAAUUACUGGGCGUAAAGCGUGCGCAGGCGGUUCGCUAAGACAGAUGUGAAAUCCCCGGGCUUAACCUGGGAACUGCAUUUGUGACUGGCGGGCUAGAGUAUGGCAGAGGGGGGUAGAAUUCCACGUGUAGCAGUGAAAUGCGUAGAGAUGUGGAGGAAUACCGAUGGCGAAGGCAGCCCCCUGGGCCAAUACUGACGCUCAUGCACGAAAGCGUGGGGAGCAAACAGGAUUAGAUACCCUAGUAGUCC